GCCUCAGUGGUUUAGUGGUAAAAUCCAUCGUUGCCAUCGAUGGGCCCCGCGUUCGAUUCGCGGCUGACGCA
Molecule: transfer RNA, 71 nt
Filed under: Immersiella caudata
Lineage: Eukaryota; Fungi; Ascomycota; Sordariomycetes; Sordariales; Lasiosphaeriaceae
Description: Cercophora caudata tRNA-Gly
Rfam family: tRNA
About the family: Transfer RNA (tRNA) molecules are approximately 80 nucleotides in length.
Source: RNAcentral